UACGUAGGGGGCGAGCGUUGUCCGGAAUUAUUGGGCGUAAAGCGCGCGCAGGCGGUCUUUUAAGUCUGAUGUGAAAUCUUGUGGCUUAACCACAAGCGGCCAUUGGAAACUGGGAGACUUGAGUACAGAAGAGGAGAGUGGAAUUCCACGUGUAGCGGUGAAAUGCGUAGAGAUGUGGAGGAACACCAGUGGCGAAGGCGACUCUCUGGUCUGUAACUGACGCUGAGGUGCGAAAGCGUGGGUAGCGAACA
RNAcentral lists this ribosomal RNA (251 nucleotides) under uncultured bacterium. RNAcentral describes it as "partial 16S ribosomal RNA". It matches the Rfam family "Bacterial small subunit ribosomal RNA", at positions 524 to 774 of the family's 1533-position model. The record is from RNAcentral.